GGUCAGAUGGCCGAGCGGUCUAAGGCGCUAGACUCAAGUGAUACAAUAGCUUCCUACCUCUGAAGGUAGGUGUAUUCUAGUAGAGCAAUCUGCGUGGGUUCGAAUCCCAUUCUGAUCA
Molecule: non-coding RNA, 118 nt
Organism: Delphinella strobiligena
Lineage: Eukaryota; Fungi; Ascomycota; Dothideomycetes; Dothideales; Dothioraceae
Source: the annotation of a GenBank genome assembly